Molecule: long non-coding RNA, 362 nt
Organism: Oncorhynchus nerka (sockeye salmon)
Lineage: Eukaryota; Metazoa; Chordata; Actinopteri; Salmoniformes; Salmonidae
Exons: 2
Source: RefSeq, a predicted model, not a curated record
UAGGGCCAGAAUGCCAUGCCUUCUCUUUUUACUGCAGCAUCAUCCUGUCAGGUUGCUAAAGAGCUUGAUGCCCGAUAGAAAACAGAGAGGUGGGCUGCAUCUACAGACAUGACACGAAGUGCCGUAUGUCUUCAGAGAAUUAACUGACAUCCACCUGGAUAUGAUCGGAUUUUGUUUGUGUCUAUCGUCCCCGGAUAUUAUUGUAUCUUCCUUAUUUUAUUAUAUUAUACAAAGGGAGAAAUACACAGGCAUGCAGCUGAGGGCUUACUCCGAGAGCUCGCCGACAUUCUUCUCCGUGUUCUUUAUUCCUUGUGUCUAAACUCGGUGUGAAGUAUUUUUCAUUAAAGAAAAAUUUAUCAUGA